UACGGAGGGGGCUAGCGUUGUUCGGAAUUACUGGGCGUAAAGCGUGCGCAGGCGGUCUGUUAAGACCGAUGUGAAAUCCCCGGGCUUAACCUGGGAACUGCAUUUGUGACUGCACGGCUGGAGUGCGGCAGAGGGGGAUGGAAUUCCGCGUGUAGCAGUGAAAUGCGUAGAUAUGCGGAGGAACACCGAUGGCGAAGGCAAUCCCCUGGGCUGACACUGACGCUCAUGCACGAAAGCGUGGGGAGCAAACAGG
This 253-nucleotide ribosomal RNA is filed under the name uncultured bacterium. Its description in RNAcentral is "partial 16S ribosomal RNA". It matches the Rfam family "Bacterial small subunit ribosomal RNA", at positions 524 to 776 of the family's 1533-position model. The record is from RNAcentral.